This 580-nucleotide ribosomal RNA is filed under the name uncultured Gammaproteobacteria bacterium. RNAcentral describes it as "bacterial SSU rRNA". It matches the Rfam family "Bacterial small subunit ribosomal RNA", at positions 1 to 577 of the family's 1533-position model. The record is from RNAcentral. Lineage: Bacteria; Pseudomonadati; Pseudomonadota; Gammaproteobacteria.
UGAGUUUGAUUAUGGCUCAGAUUGAACGCUGGCGGCAGGCCUAACACAUGCAAGUCGAGCGGUAACAGGACUAGCUUGCUAGUUGCUGACGAGCGGCGGACGGGUGCGUAACACGUAGGAAUCUGCCCGGUAGUGGGGGAUAGCCCGGAGAAAUCCGGAUUAAUACCGCAUACGCCUUACGAGGGAAAGGAGGGGCCUCUUCGGAGCCUUUCGCUAUCGGAUGAGCCUGCGUCGGAUUAGCUAGUUGGUGGGGUAAAGGCCUACCAAGGCGACGAUCCGUAGCUGGUCUGAGAGGAUGAUCAGCCACACUGGGACUGAGACACGGCCCAGACUCCUACGGGAGGCAGCAGUGGGGAAUAUUGCACAAUGGGGGAAACCCUGAUGCAGCCAUGCCGCGUGUGUGAAGAAGGCUCUAGGGUUGUAAAGCACUUUCAGCGAGGAGGAAAGGUUGCUGGUUAAUACCCAGCGGCUGUGACGUUACUCGCAGAAGAAGCACCGGCUAACUCCGUGCCAGCAGCCGCGGUAAUACGGAGGGUGCGAGCGUUAAUCGGAAUUACUGGGCGUAAAGCGUGCGUAGGCG